This 467-nucleotide ribosomal RNA is filed under the name uncultured bacterium. Its description in RNAcentral is "partial 16S ribosomal RNA". It matches the Rfam family "Bacterial small subunit ribosomal RNA", at positions 28 to 507 of the family's 1533-position model. The record is from RNAcentral.
GACGAACGCUGGCGGCGUGCUUAACACAUGCAAGUCGAACGGAAAGGCUCCAGCUUGCUGGAGUACUCGAGUGGCGAACGGGUGAGUAACACGUGGGUAAUCUGCCCUGCACUCUGGGAUAAGCCUGGGAAACUGGGUCUAAUACUGGAUAUGACCUUUCUCCUUAUGGUGUUUGGUGGAAAGUUUUUCGGUGUAGGAUGAGCCCGCGGCCUAUCAGCUUGUUGGUGGGGUGAUGGCCUACCAAGGCGACGACGGGUAGCCGGCCUGAGAGGGUGAUCGGCCACAUUGGGACUGAGAUACGGCCCAGACUCCUACGGGAGGCAGCAGUGGGGAAUAUUGCACAAUGGGCGGAAGCCUGAUGCAGCGACGCCGCGUGAGGGAUGACGGCCUUCGGGUUGUAAACCGCUUUCGGCAGGGACGAAGCGUAAGUGACGGUACCUGGAGAAGAAGCACCGGCUAACUACGUG